RNAcentral lists this long non-coding RNA (429 nucleotides) under Salmo salar (Atlantic salmon). RNAcentral describes it as "lncRNA (ENSSSAG00000084719.1, ENSSSAG00000121072.1)". The record is from RNAcentral. Lineage: Eukaryota; Metazoa; Chordata; Actinopteri; Salmoniformes; Salmonidae.
GUCAUCACUUCAUUUUUUUGCACCUGCGCAUAAAUCUGAGAAACGUGAGUUUGUCAUCAUUGUUUAUCUAGACAUAGGAUAGGUUGUGUGAAAAUAUUACUGAUGUUUAACGUUAAAAAUGGACCAAAGGAUUAAUGCUAAACAACGUUUGACAUGUUUGAAUGAACGUAAAUAGAUUAUUUACUAGGUUUUUUUAGCUUUUCGGCGUGAUUUUACACCCCCCCCCACCACGUUUUGUGGGAGCAUAAUGAACGCUAACUACUUGGUGUUAUUUGGACAUAAAUUAUGAACUUUGUCAAAAGAAACCACAUUUGUUCCGGACCUGGGAUUCCUGGCAGUGCCUUCUGAUGGAGAUAAUCAAAGGUUUUAGAAUUAGAGCGCUCAUCCAUGGAGAUCCCAGAGGUGCUGCCGCAGGAGGGUCAGAGGAGG